UUUGAGAGUUUGAUCCUGGCUCAGGAUGAACGCUAGCGGUAUGCUUAACACAUGCAAGUCGUACGAGAGUAUUUAACUCUAGUGGCGGACGGGUGAGUAACACGUGAGAAUCUGCCCGCAGGAGGGAAAUAACAUUAGGAAACCAAUGCUAAAGUCCCAUAUACCUUUUGGUGAAACAGGUAACAAACCUGCCUGCGGAAGAGCUCGCGCCUGAUUAGCUAGUUGGUGGGGUAAAGGCCUACCAAGGUGAUGAUCAGUAGCUGGUCUGAGAGGAUGAUCAGCCACACUGGAACUGAGACACGGUCCAGACUCCUACGGGAGGCAGCAGUGGGGAAUUUUCUGCAAUGGGCGCAAGCCUGACAGAGCAAUACCGCGUGAGGGAUGAAGGCUCGUGGGCUGUAAACCUCUUUUUUCAAGGAGGAAGUACUGACGUGUACUUGAAGAAUAAGCAUCGGCU
RNAcentral lists this ribosomal RNA (457 nucleotides) under uncultured eukaryote. RNAcentral describes it as "partial Bacterial small subunit ribosomal RNA". It matches the Rfam family "Bacterial small subunit ribosomal RNA", at positions 1 to 498 of the family's 1533-position model. The record is from RNAcentral.